This is a long non-coding RNA of Equus caballus (horse), 4128 nucleotides long. Lineage: Eukaryota; Metazoa; Chordata; Mammalia; Perissodactyla; Equidae. The record is from Ensembl.
CACCACGUUACCAUGACAACCAGACUUGGCAACCGGCACUCUCCCCCCAGGAGGGGACAGCCCUAGCACCAACCAGGCACAUCCCGGGGCUGCCGGUAGCAACUUGAGGCUAAGAAUGGAAAAACGCUAAGGUGCAGGCAGCGCCAGGGGACAACGGGCACGUCUGCCGUCCAGUCAACAGUCAAGUCUCUGCUUCCGACUGGAUGCUGGACUCCCAGCGCCAACAGGAAGGCUGCACUGUUUUGGAAAAGGAGGGGGAGGAAAAAAAAAUGUGAGUUCAUUUCCUGAGUCUUUUAAAUGUUUCUCCGUAGACAGAGCGUUGAGAAGCCAUGGCCAGAGGGCAGAGCUGACUGCAGGUACUCGGCUCACCCAGAGUGAGGGUCAGAACUUGCCCCCACACACACUGCAUACAGGCCGACAGCAGGAAAAUCUGAUUCAGCAGUGAGACAGAGCUGAAGGAUCGGGGACAGCCUCGGUUCUCACCUCCCUCCCAAGAAAGUCUUUUCGGGGCCAGUUGUUUUUGGAGCAGGCUUCCCUGUUUGUCCAGGCAAGGUUAGAUUAUUAAGUCAAUUUAUCCAUAAGAGAAGGCAGAAAGGGGCCUGGUGACUAAUUGAGGGAUCCCGGGGAGAGCUGUGGGAGCAGCCAGCACUUGUCAAAGCGCUUUCUCACGUAUAUGAUUUUACCCACUUCUCACGGCAGCCCCAUGAAACAGACGGCAGUGUGCCCAUUUCACAGUGACCGGAACACAGCCCAGAGCACAGGAGGCGUGCAGUAUGUGUUUGUCGCAUGAAUGAAGGAAUGAAUGAAUGCAGAAACAACUCCUGCCCUGAUGGAGGAAAGAAGACCCAAAACAGAAGCACAGCAACGUCAAGCAGGCCCACUGAGAUGCAGCAAGGUUCAUUUGAAACCAGUGGCACAAGCCCCCCAAACUGGGCAAACACCACCGCCUGGAGGGCCCCGCUACAAGGCAGUGACGCGGACUUUGCAUUUCCCAUCAAGGUACCGGGAGUAUAUGGGGAGUGUGUCCCCCACGUAGAAGACAGUCCGAGCCCCCUCUUGACAGAUGGAUGCUCAGGAGCUGAGAGCGCCCUGCCUUAUCCUGACAGCAGCAUGGCAAGUCAGGGGCAGAGGCGGGCAUCAGACCUGUCAAUCUGGCCCAUAAAUUCCCCAAUCAGCUCACGGAUUAAAGCAACGAUCGAGUUUUCAAACAGUUGUCCCAGUUCCUGUUUUGCCUCGUGAAGAUUCCACCCAGCCUCCAAGUUGAGGAGCCUGACCUCUGAGACAGGCUCCCUUCUCCCCACUCUGGCUGCCCCUGCUCUCCUCCAAGACCCCAAGGUGGCCUCAGUGACAGUGAGACAGGAGAAGAAAAACGGACAGAAGAACGUGCAGAAGAGGGGACUGAAAAGUCGGAGGAGACGGUCCCCAUCCCACCUACCCGGCCACAAUGCAGGCUGGUUUUGCUCUCCACAGGCCUGCUGGUGUCCUGUCUUUUAUCCUGGUUUUAAGCACAGACAUUUGGAAAUGUUGAUUGUGUUCCUGGCCUUGCCUUCAACCCAAGGACAACACAGGGCCCAGCCCUCAGAAGGCUCCCAGUCCAGCAGUGAUGUUGGGCGGGCAAACCAAACAGCAUGGCCCCUGAGGUCUCAAAGCACAGAGGCUCCGACCAGGCUGGUUACCACCCCUGGGUCUGCAGCCCCUCCAAGUAGAUGUGAGGAAGCUGGGCAGUCCCAGCCUCAAAGAGAGCCAAGCCUUCCCUUUUGGCCUCUUGAUUUCUGAUUCUGCUGGGUCAAGGUCUAUGAGAAAGUGGAUCCAGUCAUUUCCAGGGGAAAGAAAAGUGGGGAACUCAUCACAAAUCACCCUUAAUGAGACCACGUUCUGUUCCUGGGUCACACAAAGUAAAUGUUGAAAAUUGGCCUCAUCACAACCGCUGUCCUCUCAUAGGUGGCCCUUUGGAGCUGUGCAUAAAUGACGACUCUGCAACUCGAGAGGCCCAGGAAUGCCCAUGGGCACAAUGCCUAACACACACCAGAGAGGACCUGAGACACCGGGACUGCAUGUGAAGCCGUACCUUCCACCACAACUUCUCUCCAAAAGACCAUUUGGCUACAACGUAUCAUAUGACUUGUUCUUAGAGUCACAUUUUAACUGACAAAGUUUAACAACAACCAUGACUUAUGGCCUUCUAAAAUUGGCAGCAGAAAAAUGAACUGAGGAAGUAAUGGAAAAAAACCACAAGCGAAGCCACUCUGCAUUAUGCACAAUUUCUGAUGUGCUUCUUUUUUUUUCCUUUCCAGGCGUGUGUGUGUGUGUGUGUGUUUUCGAAUGGUAGAAAAUAUUUUCCAGAUACACUGUCCUGGCAUUCCCAAGCACAUAUUUAUGCCAAGUUUAUAAAAAGCAGCUGCAGACAGGGUUGACUGAAAGGAUUGCUCUGCUGUCUGGCUUCCAGAAGGUGCUUCGGUUCUCACUCUGUCGCCAGGACACAGACUUACCUCCUAAAACUCCCUAACCUUCUGUGUCAUGCACCUGAAAGGGGACAAACCUGUGACUCAGAGGGACCUGGGGAAGCAGUCGCCUCGUGCUCCUGUAAGCUUUCACAUGACACUCUUGACUUGCAAGGUGCUUGAGUGACAUGUGCUCUAUCAUUUUUAGUCAUUCGAAAUCCUCACACAGAUACAAAAAGGAAAGUGUUCCAACACUCGUUUCACAAAUAUCUGGAUGGCUCAGAGGGGCAGGGCGAUUUGAGCGUUAUCAGCACCAGCGUCUGAGUUGUUGGGAACACAUGACGGAGCCCUCCAUGGCAAAAGCUGCAUCAACCUGUCUUUCCAUCCACCUGCUCUGGUUCAGCAAGACCCCCUUUUCCACUGGCCUAAGACUCUCCACUCCCUUCCCUUCACCCCUCCGUGGUCUCCCCCCACUUCUGCCCAGUGAGAGGCUCCAGCCUCCACAUUGGCAUGUCCUGCUUCAUCACCACCCACUCACCCUUCAAUGCCUGGGGACAUCCUGAGCAACUGCUCAUCUGCACCCAAACCCAGACUCUCGCUGGCCUGGGGUGGGGACCCCACUUACCUCCCUCCACCACCACGGGCUUAAUGAAGACAAUAAUAAGCUGCUGUGUAGCUUUCCUGGGGGUGACUAACUGGUUAAUCUUGGGAAGGCCCUUUGAAGAUGAAAAGCCGGGUAUUACUCACGGGGUUGAAGGCAUGCACCUGCCCCAGUCUGGGCCUGAGUCAGCAAAGAAUGACCUCCCACCUGCAAGCAGGCUGGGUGAGCUGGCCUGGGUCCCUGCUCAAGGUCCAGGUUGGCCAACAGGAGGGGUGUGGACAGCACAGCUAGCACCCAGGAAGGGGGAACCAGGAUGCCUUGACGGCCGGUGCUGAGUGGGCCCCUCUGAGUUUGGAAAUUGGGUCUCAUGAGCGUUUGCAGGUUCAAUAAGCCUUCACAUAACACUGCCAAGAGGGCAGCACACACCAAGGAUAUCAGUCAAGACAGUAUUUCCUAGUAAUUGUCUGCAGAAAAUGCUUUUCUAACAGCUAAUGCCUCCUAAGUGACAGUGUUUUCUCCUUCCUCUGGAGGAAGGGAGCCCGGGGAAGGCACGCUGGGGGCAGUGAGCAGCUCUGUGGGACCUGAGAUCUGGGGUGCAAGCGGGGACAGGUAUGUGUUCUCGUCUUCUCUAGCUCGUGGUCUGCUCAGUGUGGCCCCCACUCACAUCUCCAAGGAAGAGGAAGUGGCAGCAAGAACUGGGAACCAGAGGCCAAACCAAGUGGAUGAAGGAGGCGGAUGGAAAUGACAGUUUGGAGCGGAUGAGAACUGAGAACGGGGAGCUGUUUCAGGGGAAGCAGCCACUCUUCUCCAGUUCUAACAGUGCCAUCAAGUGGCUCUGUGAGCAGACGCAGGGCAGUGCCUCCUGACAGCCCGGGCUGACCUCGUGGAGAGAGGAGCACCAGGGCUUUGCAAUGGGCACCCUGCCAAUUGCCAGUGGUCAGCCUCUCACCUCGCAGCACUGAGCCCCACACCUUUCCCUGGAACGGUCUUGCAAGGAGAGGUGGAAGAUGUCUCCCGAGUGUAGGUAUAGUCGCCCUGAUGGAUACAGGUGGCCAAGUUUACCACGUUCCUGCAAGGUGCUUCAUU